GAAAGAGCAAUUCUGCCUAGAUCAGUGUUAGGGCCCAGGACAAAGGCCUUACUCUGUCCCACCCCUAAUGAGGACACUGUUAUUUAGCUCUUUACUUGGGUUCACUUGGGAUUUCACUGGAACCUUAAGUGGUCUCCCCACCCUUGGCCUAAGACAAUAAGGCAAUGGAACGAACUACUGGAGUCAAGGGACCUUGGUUCAAGUCCCACUUCCGACAUUGCAUGACCUUGCAUGAAAUCAUUUAAUCUCACUUGGAUCUGGAAAAUGAGGGAUUUAGCCUGAAUGGCUUCUGCAAACCUUUGUAGCUCUCGCUCCGUGAUCCAGUAAGCCAACUGUAAUGCCUUCCGACCUCCGGGGGCAGAGUCUCGGCCCCUCAGACAACGCCAGCUUGCUUUGGCAGGGGGAAACCGUUUACCCGCUGUCCUUCCAGCUCUCCACCUGAACCCCCGGCCUUGGACCUUCCACUCCUCAUCUGCCCAUCCGAGGGUCUGGUCCCCUUUGUUCUGGUCCAGCUUCCCUUCUUCUCUGUAGUCCUCCCCAGCCACUUCUCCUUCCCAUCCACCUCAUCUCAACAGCAGUGCUCAACCACGUAGACAGGUGCUCCCUCAAUACCUCUUCUGCCGUCAUCCUGCCAACUAAGGGCAGAGGGGCCUGUAGCAUCACCUCUGGGUCUGGCUUCGAGCCUCCUGUGAGCUCUUCUCAGGUACCAGACAGUACAGGGAAGCAGGGGAAGUUCUGUAGAAAAUGGGCUCCAUUAUGGAGCAAACAAACCACAGUCCAGUAACGGGAAAUCGCAAGGCAAUAAUACCUGCCACCUAUAUAGCACUUUACAUCAAAUCCAGCCUCAGACACUUUCUAGCUUGGGCUUCACUUGGGCAAAUCACUUAACCUCUGUUUGCCUCAGCUUCCUCAACUGUAAAAUGGGGAUAAUAAUGCUCUUUACCUCCUGGUAUUAUUGUGAGGAUCAAAUGAGAUAUCUCUAAAGCACUUAGCACAAUUUAUGGCACACAGGUGAUAUAUAAAUGCUAGCUGUUAUUACAUCUGUUCUCUCAUUUGAUCCUCACAACAAACUGAGAUCUUGUAGUCCUAUUCCAUCAUUAGGGAUAUUGAGGCUUAGAGAGCAUUAAGUGACUUGUCUAUGAAUGUUACAGCUUAUGAAAGGUUAGAACGUAAACCUCUGUCU
Molecule: long non-coding RNA, 1183 nt
Filed under: Sarcophilus harrisii (Tasmanian devil)
Lineage: Eukaryota; Metazoa; Chordata; Mammalia; Dasyuromorphia; Dasyuridae
Description: lncRNA (ENSSHAG00000027172.1)
Source: RNAcentral